This 244-nucleotide ribosomal RNA is filed under the name uncultured bacterium. RNAcentral's name for it is "partial 16S ribosomal RNA". It matches the Rfam family "Bacterial small subunit ribosomal RNA", at positions 533 to 776 of the family's 1533-position model. The record is from RNAcentral.
GGCUAGCGUUGCUCGGAAUCACUGGGCGUAAAGCGCACGUAGGCGGAUUGUUAAGUCAGGGGUGAAAUCCUGGAGCUCAACUCCAGAACUGCCUUUGAUACUGGCGAUCUCGAGUCCGGGAGAGGUGAGUGGAACUGCGAGUGUAGAGGUGAAAUUCGUAGAUAUUCGCAAGAACACCAGUGGCGAAGGCGGCUCACUGGCCCGAUACUGACGCUGAGGCACGAAAGCGUGGGGAGCAAACAGG